UUGGUUUGAGACGGUUUGAAUGAAUGUGUGAACCCCAAGCAGACCAGAGAUCACUCCAAAAGCAGGAAGCGGACUAAAGCGCAGGGGAUUCUGGGUAAAUACAACCAAAACAAACCAAGAUGUUAGCCUAACGCUAGCAGGAGAAAUGGCUUGUGGUCUUUUACUAGGAACAGAAGAGAUUUUCUCCAGCUGCUAAAAUGUGACACUCUGUUUUUGUUUUCAUUUCAUGAAGAAGUUAAGUUGCACUCAGUGUCUUCUUAAGAAGUUUUUGUGUUGUUUCUUUCAGUGGUGCUUGGUGCAGCGCCCCCACAGGUAGGGAGGGACAGGUUUUUCAAAGAGUUUGGUUCGUUUAACUGCAGUGGGGAAGAGAAGCACAGCAGCUCAAAAUGUAACGAUGUCUGCGAUCGAACCAAGUCUACCAGACUAUCAGGUGUGAAAACAGCCCAACUGUUUUUUGUUUCAUUACAUUUGUUGCAUAUAGUUUUGUGACGUGUUGUGUUUGUGACUGUUUUUGUUCACCAGUCUUCUAUGAUUGGAGGAUAGGAUAUGAGAAACCCAUAUAAGUAGCACCGAUUUAUUUCUCCUGAUGUUUCACAAGAUCUAUAUUAUACACUGCAAAAACACAAAAUCUUACCAAGUGUUUUUAGUCUAGUUUGUGGUGCAAGCAUCUUAGUCCUAUUUCUAGUGUGCAAACUUUUCAGCAAGAUAUAUGAGCUUAUUUUAAAUAAUUCCUUAUGUACUAGUUCACAUAACACGAUAAAAAUGUCCUGUAAAAUAAUCUUCCUGUGGAAGUAGAACUUUUUCAUCAAUAUUAAGAAAUUUUAACUUAAUCAACCUCCUAUAUCUUGGUGAAGAUUUACUUGGAAGUUUGUUUUUGUCUUAUUUCAAAUACAUUUGCAGAAGGAACCAGACCAAAAUGACUUGGUAAUGUUUUGUGUUUUUGCAGAGCUGCUAAUAAAUUGACGAGGUCUGAGUGUGCAUGAACUGCAGUUUGCACUUUGACCUGCCUGGCGAAAGCAGAGCAGUUCCCCCACACGGCAUUGAACCUUGUGUCACAUAAAAACAUUCCCAUCUGCGAUUAACUCUGCAAAUUCAGGCCCUUUGUAGGAACUAUUUGUCACAUUUUCAUCUCUAAUUAAAAUGCAGAUGCACUUUCUGACCUGACAGAAAGCCGCCACUCGCUCGCUCACAAACACAAACAAGGACAAAUUCAACUGCUUGAUUGGUCCUUGGUGACUGAGAGGCAAAUCUUCCAUCUCCUGCUGGCAGCUUCAGCGAGCGUCAAGGUCACUCCUCCAUUCAGAGGCAUCCAGCAUGUUUUGAUAAACACCGAGGGGAAACGACCUUGAUCGGCUGCCAUUUUUUUCUCCUUCUCAUGCACUGAAGCUAACGCACAAGUUGAAUCUGGCUAUUUAAUUAAGACUUUCAGCACCCAAGAAAUAAAUAUUGUGCAUCUGUUUGCCCCUGACUUGUCCUCUGAUAUCUGCAUUUUAAGAGAGCGCUGAUCCCUGCAAGACAUUCUCACCUCAAAAUAGUCAACAAUUGGCAGUGGAGUGAAAAGCAAGGCGACCAUUUUCAAGUUAAAAUGUUUUUUUCUUUUGUUUCAUCAGGAGUUUGAACCAAAACUACCAGCUCUGCUGGUUCUCUAACUCACAGAAUCGUCCUAAAAGUGAUUUUAGCUGCAGGACGUAUUUAGUUAUGGUCUCACAAGGUCAAAUCUUGGGGUCAAAGUGAAAUAUUGCUGAUUAUCAGCCCACACAUGACCAGAUGGCAAUGAGAGCAAGUUGAUAUUGGUAAAAACAACAACAAAAAUAUUUUCCCAACACAACACAGUUGUAGUAUGAACUACUACAACAAUAUUAUCAUUUAUCACAAUAAAUUCUGGAACAGUUUAUUAUCCAGCAAAAUUAGUUAUUGU
Xiphophorus hellerii (green swordtail) is the source of this 1918-nucleotide long non-coding RNA. RefSeq lists it as uncharacterized. Lineage: Eukaryota; Metazoa; Chordata; Actinopteri; Cyprinodontiformes; Poeciliidae. The record is from RefSeq and is a predicted model, not a curated record. The transcript is spliced from 3 exons.